Non-coding RNA from Geotrichum reessii, 96 nucleotides. NCBI's taxonomy places the organism in Eukaryota, Fungi, Ascomycota, Dipodascomycetes, Dipodascales, Dipodascaceae. The record is from the annotation of a GenBank genome assembly.
GGCAUUAUGGCCGAGCGGUUAAGGCGAAAGACUUGAAUUCUAAUGUUCAGGCAUCUUUUGGGAUUUCCCGCGCAGGUUCGAAUCCUGCUGAUGUCG